This 253-nucleotide ribosomal RNA is filed under the name uncultured bacterium. RNAcentral describes it as "partial 16S ribosomal RNA". It matches the Rfam family "Bacterial small subunit ribosomal RNA", at positions 524 to 776 of the family's 1533-position model. The record is from RNAcentral.
UACGUAGGGGGCAAGCGUUGUCCGGAAUCAUUGGGCGUAAAGAGCGCGUAGGCGGUCCGGUAAGUCCGCUCUGAAAGUCCGGGGCUCAACCCCGGGAGGCGGGCGGAUACUGUCGGGCUAGAGUCCGGAAGAGGCGAGUGGAAUUCCUGGUGUAGCGGUGAAAUGCGCAGAUAUCAGGAGGAACACCAAUGGCGAAGGCAGCUCGCUGGGACGGUACUGACGCUGAGGCGCGAAAGCGUGGGGAGCAAAAGGG